Long non-coding RNA from Drosophila guanche, 1149 nucleotides. RefSeq lists it as uncharacterized. The transcript has 2 exons. The record is from RefSeq and is a predicted model, not a curated record. Lineage: Eukaryota; Metazoa; Arthropoda; Insecta; Diptera; Drosophilidae.
GAUUCGGUCUCUAAAAAUACGAGAAAGUUUAUUCUGAAUAACUUGAUUCUGCAAUCAACUCUAAUAAAAUCAAUAACAUCAAUCUUCUUAAGCAAUGGCUCCUACAACCGGUACAUACACCAAUAAAAUUCACUAUGUCAAAAAGCAGAUCCUCGAAAAGGUAACAAUGAAGCAAUAUGCACAAGUUUUUAUGCUGCCCAUGGACAGAAGAAACCGAGAUAUUGCGGGACUCAAAAAUCCCAUGGACCUGGGCACAAUCAUUAUUCGUGUGCAGAAACGGCGCUAUCGAAAUGUAGAUGAACUGAUUUUCGAUCUCAAACUUGUCUAUCAGAAUUGGCUUUCGUUGAAGAGGGAAAGUGCAAUCCUGUGCCGGCCUGGCAAUCAAGUUGCAAAAAUUCGUGGAGAACAAGGUGUCGAAAAUGCCAGAGGGCCAGGAGUUGGAGAUCAAUAAGGAUUCCAAGAUGACGGUCAAGUCCCUCCAAAAUUUUCCCUGGCGGCAGUUAAAUAGCACAGAGCCGACUCCAACAGAGCCUAUGAAUGUGUGUCUGCAUGUGACACCAGAGCUUGUCGCUGAUCCUACGGAUGUUUAGACAGAGCCCUAUGAAGAGGAUGAUUCAUUGCGGAUAAUCACACAAAUUCUGAGCAAAACGCAGCUGAUGCACUACCUUCAGCCACCCGAUAUAAGUAUCUAUGUUGAUACUCUUGGUGACUGCAGCAAUGAAUGCAACUGUCAGUUGUGGGACAGCAACGUGGAUGAUUUGACAUCGCAUGAGCUGCAGACUGUCAUGCAUAUAGCGUUGCAACAUAAUGUGCCAGUCACUAUGAAAAAAGGCAGAAUGGACUUAAGCAUAACGAAAUUCUCCCCCAAAGUUAUAUCCAUAUUAAAUGAGGCUCUCCUUCAACGCAGACGCAACGAUUCUGUAUUGCUGCAACUUAUGACAGAUGAUGAACGGCAGGUUAUGACGGAAUAUUUGGAAAACAGGUUGCUCAGACUCAACACCCUCUUGAACAUAUCAAAUCGUACGAGUACUUUAAGGAGACAUGCCACUAUCAGUAACAGUCAGGAUCUGGAACACUCCGGAACGGUUAUCUGAUGACGAAAAGGAGGAAAAGGGAGGAGGAAAGCAUGUUAAAAAAGGACAGACCUAA